GACGAACGCUGGCGGCGUGCCUAGUACAUGCAAGUAGAACGCACAGUUUAUACCGUAGCUUGCUACACCAUAGACUGUGAGUUGCGAACGGGUGAGUAACGCGUAGGUAACCUGCCUGGUAGCGGGGGAUAACUAUUGGAAACGAUAGCUAAUACCGCAUAAUAUUAAUUAUUGCAUGAUAAUUAAUUGAAAGGUGCAAUUGCACCACUACCAGAUGGACCUGCGUCGUAUUAGCUAGUAGGUGAGGUAACGGCUCACCUAGGCGACGAUACAUAGCCGACCUGAGAGGGUGAUCGGCCACACUGGGACUGAGACACGGCCCAGACUCCUACGGGAGGCAGCAGUAGGGAAUCUUCGGCAAUGGACGAAAGUCUGACCGAGCAACGCCGCGUGAGUGAAGAAGGUUUUCGGAUCGUAAAGCUCUGUUGUAAGAGAAGAACGGGUGUGAGAGUGGAAAGUUCACACUGUGACGGUAUCUUACCAGAAAGGGACGGCUAACUACGUG
Molecule: ribosomal RNA, 505 nt
Filed under: uncultured bacterium
Lineage: Bacteria
Description: partial 16S ribosomal RNA
Rfam family: Bacterial small subunit ribosomal RNA
Source: RNAcentral